Molecule: ribosomal RNA, 429 nt
Filed under: bacterium
Lineage: Bacteria
Description: partial 16S ribosomal RNA
Rfam family: Bacterial small subunit ribosomal RNA
Source: RNAcentral
UAGGGAAUCUUCGGCAAUGGGGGCAACCCUGACCGAGCAACGCCGCGUGAGUGAAGAAGGUUUUCGGAUCGUAAAGCUCUGUUGUAAGAGAAGAACGUGUGUGAGAGUGGAAAGUUCACACAGUGACGGUAACUUACCAGAAAGGGACGGCUAACUACGUGCCAGCAGCCGCGGUAAUACGUAGGUCCCGAGCGUUGUCCGGAUUUAUUGGGCGUAAAGCGAGCGCAGGCGGUUUAAUAAGUCUGAAGUUAAAGGCAGUGGCUUAACCAUUGUUCGCUUUGGAAACUGUUAAACUUGAGUGGAGAAGGGGAGAGUGGAAUUCCAUGUGUAGCGGUGAAGUGCGUAGAUAUAUGGAGGAACACCGGUGGCGAAAGCGGCUCUCUGGUCUGUAACUGACGCUGUGGCUCGAAAGCGUGGGGAGCAAACAGG